RNAcentral lists this ribosomal RNA (468 nucleotides) under uncultured bacterium. Its description in RNAcentral is "partial 16S ribosomal RNA". It matches the Rfam family "Bacterial small subunit ribosomal RNA", at positions 28 to 507 of the family's 1533-position model. The record is from RNAcentral.
GACGAACGCUGGCGGCGUGCUUAACACAUGCAAGUCGAACGGAAAGGCCCUGCUUUUGUGGGGUGCUCGAGUGGCGAACGGGUGAGUAACACGUGAGUAACCUGCCCUUGACUUUGGGAUAACUUCAGGAAACUGGGGCUAAUACCGGAUAGGAGCUCCUGCUGCAUGGUGGGGGUUGGAAAGUUUCGGCGGUUGGGGAUGGACUCGCGGCUUAUCAGCUUGUUGGUGGGGUAGUGGCUUACCAAGGCUUUGACGGGUAGCCGGCCUGAGAGGGUGACCGGCCACAAUGGGACUGAGAGACGGCCCAGACUCCUACGGGAGACAGCAGUGGGGAAUAUUGCACAAUGGGCGGAAGCCUGAUGCAGCAACGCCGCGUGCGGGAUGACGGCCUUCGGGUUGUAAACCGCUUUCGGCUGUGACGAAGCGUGAGUGACGGUAAUGGGUAAAUAAGCACCGGCUAACUACGUG